Molecule: transfer RNA, 64 nt
Filed under: Neotrigonia margaritacea
Lineage: Eukaryota; Metazoa; Mollusca; Bivalvia; Trigoniida; Trigoniidae
Description: tRNA-Pro
Source: RNAcentral
CAGAGGAUAGUUUAUAAAAACAGGAGCUUUGGGAGCCCCAGAUUUAGCUUCGCUAAUCCUUUGA